GUUCGUUAGCAACCAGAGGGAAAAGUUUACUGUCUGUCCUCAGUGUUCAGCGGACACAGGUGUGAGUCAGUUCAAUCAGAGCACCGGCUCUCCACACACACUACUUACAUUUAAUUCUAUAUGAUCAUAAAACUAUGUUUCUUGAGGCAAAAUGGAUAUCCACGGUCACCUAAUGAUGCACGUGGAUCAAUGACGUCACGUGACGCUUUUUGUGUUCAUAUGGUUUAGUUUAAAUUUAAAAGGGUUUAAAUUUGAAAAGAAAUGAACAAAUGACUUGCAUACAUUUUUUUUAAGACCUAGUCUAAAAUUUCUUGUUUUAUCAAUUUUGGGAGAAUAUUUGGGGGAUGACGGAAAAAAUGUCAAUGUGGUGUAACCUUAAAAAUAAUUGCUUAAAAAAGGUGAAUAAAAUCAAUAAACCAGUUUGGCAUAAUCUUACAUUAGAACUGUUUAAUAGUAAAUAAAAGUAAUGGAACAACAUUGUUCUGAAUAUUAUAAUUAAUUUGGGGAAUCAUGUCAGUCAACUUCCUGAAGUGUCAAGCUGGGGGGGCUUUAGCGGACUGACUGUGACUCUUGUUGCAAAGAAACAUUCAUAGCUGCAAGCAUGUAGGCCUACUUGCUUUGUGUCAUCUGAUAAUUAAUAAUCAACCACAUCAAACCUCCACACAGGUAUCAAAAUCAAUAUAGCAGGGCACAGUAUACUCGGCAGAGUGAUGUACCAUAAACAACUGUUAAAGUUACUCAUCCCCUACAGAUGAGCUCAGUCAUUUCUCGGUACAGCUAAGACAUCAAAAGCGAGGGUCACGUAUCAACAAACCAACCUAUAACAACACACACGCAUGAGCACUGUAAAUACCAACAGAAAUAGUCCAGGCUGUCUACAAGGGAUCCAGUCCUCAUCAACACCCAUCACAUGCAAUAGGCUACAGUGCAAACAAUACAGUGAAUAAUACAGUUAACUGGGAAUAGCCCUUACCUUAAAACUGAAGCGACCACAGAGGCCUGUUUCUUUUUCUGAUCUUUGAGUUAAAGUCAGUGAAGUUUAUGAUAUAGUGCCGCCACGCUUCGAUGGUGAUGACCAGAUUAGCUUGAUUAAAGUUAAGUUAAUGAUGAAUCACCCUCGUGCAUGAGUCAUACAUCAGUAGCCUAAUUUUACGCCUGAUCCAUGAUAUAGAAAUACAUGGAAAAAACAGCAUAUAGUCAAUAUUAUAUAUAAUAAGUGUGGUAAACAGCUAAAUGAUGCUGGGGACAGUUAGGCCCUACUACUGAUGGAUAGCUGACGUUAUAGCCUGAGUGGGAGGCUGCUGCUGGGAGACUGAGUACAGUCAGACUACAGUAUAGUGGCAGCAGUAAACAUGACUGUCGCCUCCAACUAAAUCUCAGCCCAGAUCAUACAUCAUCACAUGUGGUACAGUUAAUCAUACAGUUGGUUAUUAACAGGUUGGUUAUUUACAGACAACACUUAGCCUAACGCUACCUGGUAAUUCAAAUAUGUAUAGAUGUCCAGAUGAGUAAUGUCUGGCCGCUGUGUUGGGUCAUUGAUCCACUUGGGCCGGGGAAGACUGAAGGAGGAUGAUGGCUGACCGAACCGAUCAACCUUAAUUUAUCAAGGUAUCGCAAACGCUCAGGUUCAGGCAAGGUCACAAAAUAAUUAUUAGACAUGUCUAUAAAACAAAGGCUUGUUUAAAACGAACUGAAUGUAUACAAAAAAAUCCAAUCAUCCUCGGCGCGCAAUGAAUCUUGGGAUAGGUUGGGCCACAAAGGAUCCAGCUGUUGGAUCCUCCAAAUUCUGGAAAAAAAGGCCACAUUUGAAGGAGCCUUCGAAAUGGGACAGCCUAGUUGCUGUGAUGCAUUCGGUCUUCAAAUGCAGCCUUUGAAGGGUGCGGCCCCUGAAUUGAGACACAGCUCAUGUGACAGGAAAUGAUAUCACAGAGAAGGACCCCUGAUGACCCCAUGCCAAGAUGCCACUUUCAAGCAAGGAAAAAUUGGCUCGUCACAGAGCUCAAGUGAACGCCGAUCCUGCUGCAAAGGCUUUCCACUUCGAUGGCAGCCUCAAGCAGGUUAUAGUCCACACGUGUGGCGUAUACAGCCUCAUCAUCCUUCUCCUGUGCCACUCUCUCUGCCUCUUCCCGCCAUAAUGAAUGUGUUGUAUGGGCUCAAAUGGAGCCUGUAUUGAGGGAUGCCAUAGGCAAAUGUAACACACCACCUUGUACUCUGUAUCAUCAGUGAUGGACCAGUGACCCACUACAGGAACAAGGAAAACUUUUUUCUACUCAACACAGUGCCGAUACAACCUCCUGAAGGAUCAACCCUCUAGCAUCAAAAACAAAUACUAUUGGAUAUCCGAGGAAGCCACUGCAAAGUACGAUGAAUCAGUCCCAACAAAUGUCCCAGCCGUGAAAGGUGUGGGAAGUGACCUCUGAAGAGCCAGUUGCAAUUCAGUGGAGGGAAAUUUAAUGUUUCUGUGCAAGACCUGGUAUCUGCAAGUGCUACCAUCCAUCUGCAGUAUGUUUCUGCAACCUACCAGAAAACCUCCCCUCUACAUCUACCGUCUGUCAGCAGCAUCUGAAAGGCAAGUUCAUUCUCGUCAGAUAUGAAAGUAAGCCUUUUGUGGGACAGGUCAUCCAGGUGGUGGGUGAAGAAGUGGAUUUGAGCUGCAUGCAAUAACUGGGUGGGAAGAAUGUAUUCAUCUGGCCUCCGGUUCUGUUAUGAGUCCAAUGUGCUGCAACAUAAUCUCAGAACCUUUGAACUCGUGUCAUUCAAAACUCAUGACGAAGGACUGGAAACAUUUCAAAGCGCACACACAGUCCUAAACACACACGAUUCUCCCUCUCUCUCACGCUCACACACACACACACACACACACACACACACACACACAAUUUUUGAAGACAUGUUUUUACCUUGAUUUGUUGUUGUCACACAUGAGUUCACCUUGAUGAUUCUUUUGUCAGAUGUUUUUUCUACAGUGAAAUUAAAUGAAACACCAAGUUCAGUUGACCUUGUUGACUGUCACACUUGA
Long non-coding RNA from Siniperca chuatsi (mandarin fish), 3019 nucleotides. RefSeq lists it as uncharacterized. The record is from RefSeq and is a predicted model, not a curated record. The transcript has 2 exons. Lineage: Eukaryota; Metazoa; Chordata; Actinopteri; Centrarchiformes; Sinipercidae.